UUUGGAGGGCAAGUCUGGUGCCAGCAGCCGCGGUAAUUCCAGCUCCAAUAGCGUAUAUUAAAGUUGUUGCAGUUAAAAAGCUCGUAGUUGAAUUUCGGGAUUAAUUUACUGGUCGUGCUAUUGUACGUACUGGUUUUAUUGAUUCCUACCUUCUGACGAACCAUGAUGUCAUUAAUUUGGUGUCUUGGGGAAUCAGGACUGUUACUUUGAAAAAAUUAGAGUGUUUAAAGCAGGCUCACGCUUGAAUACAUUAGCAUGGAAUAACGAAAUAGGACGUUUGAUUCUAUUUUGUUGGUUUCUAGGAUCGACGUAAUGAUUAAUAGGGAUAGUUGGGGGCAUUAGUAUUCAAUUGUCAGAGGUGAAAUUCUUGGAUUUAUUGAAGACUAACUACUGCGAAAGCAUUUGCCAAGGAUGUUUUCAUUAAUCAAGAACGAAAGUUUGGGGAUCGAAGACGAUCAGAUACCGUCGUAGUCUUAACCAUAAACUAUGCCGACUAGGGAUCGGACGAUGUUAAUUUUUUAAUGACUCAUUCGGCGCCUUACGGGAAAC
RNAcentral lists this ribosomal RNA (549 nucleotides) under Glomus indicum. RNAcentral describes it as "SSU rRNA". It matches the Rfam family "Eukaryotic small subunit ribosomal RNA", at positions 547 to 1098 of the family's 1831-position model. The record is from RNAcentral. Lineage: Eukaryota; Fungi; Glomeromycota; Glomeromycetes; Glomerales; Glomeraceae.